GUGAGGGAGGGUGUGACUAGUGACAGUUAGGCAGGGAAGGGGUGACUAGUGACAGAGGGAGGGGUGACUAGGGACAGAGUGAGGGAGGUGGUGACUAGUGACAGUCACCACCUCCCUCACUCUGUCACUAGUCAUCACCUCCCUCCGUCACUGUGUCACCCCCUCCCUCACUCUGUCACCAGUCAUCCCCUUACUCUGUCACUAGUCACCCCUCCCUUCCCUCAC
This is a non-coding RNA of Pelobates cultripes (western spadefoot toad), 225 nucleotides long. The record is from the annotation of a GenBank genome assembly. Lineage: Eukaryota; Metazoa; Chordata; Amphibia; Anura; Pelobatidae.